This 320-nucleotide unclassified non-coding RNA is filed under the name plant metagenome. RNAcentral describes it as "partial contains 5.8S ribosomal RNA, internal transcribed spacer 2, and large subunit ribosomal RNA". The stretch from base 1 to 104 matches the Rfam family "5.8S ribosomal RNA", at positions 51 to 154 of the family's 154-position model. The record is from RNAcentral.
AAAUGCGAUAACUAAUGUGAAUUGCAGAAUUCAGUGAAUCAUCGAGUCUUUGAACGCACAUUGCGCCCUCUGGUAUUCCGGAGGGCAUGCCUGUCCGAGCGUCAUUGCUGCCCUCAAGCACGGCUUGUGUGUUGGGCCCCGUCCCCCCCGCUCCGGGGGGGACGGGCCCGAAAGGCAGCGGCGGCACCGCGUCCGGUCCUCGAGCGUAUGGGGCUUCGUCACCCGCUCUUGUAGGCCCGGCCGGCGCCAGCCGACCCCCAACCUUUUAUUUUUUCUCAGGUUGACCUCGGAUCAGGUAGGGAUACCCGCUGAACUUAAGC